Small nucleolar RNA from Microcebus murinus (gray mouse lemur), 214 nucleotides. The record is from Ensembl. Lineage: Eukaryota; Metazoa; Chordata; Mammalia; Primates; Cheirogaleidae.
AAGACUAUACUUUCAGGGAUCAUUUCUAUAGUUUGUUACUAGAGAAGUUUCUCUGAAUGUGUAGAGCACUGGAAACCACGAGGAGGUGGUGCAGCAUUGUCUCCUGAGCAUGAAGCCCGCUUUUGGUUUUGCUUCUCUGCUAUUGCCAUUUGCCAUUGAUGAUUGUUCUCUCUUUUUGUGGGGAGUAAGAGGAGAGGACACAGUCUGAGUGGUA